GUGUUCUCUCUCUCUCAGACGGGAGACUCAAAGCACUUCCUCCCUUCUCUUCAGGGCUCAGGUCAAUCUACACACUGUAGACAUAAUAUAUUCUCCAGGGAGUUAAGUUCUUUCAUUUGUUGAAUUUCCUUGAGAAAGAUGUCUGGGAGGAACCGUGGACCUCCGCUUCCGAUGAAAGGUGCUCCUCAUGCUGGAGUGCCACCCAUUUACGAGCCUCCAUUUGUAAGGAAUCUAGGUCCAAUGCCCCAUCAUGCGUUGCUAGAAGAGAUGAGGGAAGCUCAGUUCGGGAUGGGUCCCAGACAACUCCCUCCUCACCCUGCUAUUAUUGAGGAGCGGUUUGCAGCUCAACAUCAGGACAUUCAGGGGCUUUUGGUUGAUAAUCAGCGUCUAGCUGCAACUCAUGUUGCACUUAAGCAGGAACUGGAAGCUGCACAACACGAGCUUCAACAAACAGAUCGCUUUGCUCGCAACUUUCUUAUGGAGAAGGAUAUGCAGAUGAGGGAGUUGUAUGAGAAAUCAGCCAAAAUGGAACAUGAUCUUCAUGGAGUGGAAAGCAUGCGGGCUGAGCUUAUGCAAUUUCAUGCUGAUAUUAAGGAAUUGACUGCCACACGUCAGAAGCUUACCGCUCAGGUUCAGGCGAUGACCCAGGAUCUUGCCAGAGCUAAUGCUGACUUGCAGCAAGUUCCUGCACUCAAGUCAGAAAUUGAAGGGCUUAGACAGGAAUUGCAACAUGCGAGGGCUGCAAUUGAGCAUGAGAAGAAGGGGCAUGCAGAGAACUAUGAGCAUGGUCAAGUGAUGGAGAAGAAUUUACUCUCUAUGGCCCGUGAGCUGGAAAAGCUGCGUGCCGAGAUGGCUAAUGCUGAAAAAAGGGCUCGUGCUGCUGCAGCGGUAGGGAAUCCAAAUCCAGGCUACAACACAAAUUAUGGCAAUGCUGAAGCUAACUAUGCAGGGAAUUCUUACCCUGCAAGUUAUGGCAUGAGUUCUAUGAAUCAAAUGAAUCCUGUGCAGCCUGGUGCAGAAGGUUAUCCUCAGUAUGGACCUGGACCUGGUUCUUGGGGAUCGUACGAUAUGCAACGGACUCAAGGACACAGAUGAACUAUUCAUGCUAGGCUGUGGUCUCUUAGAUUGCUUAUCGGAGCGAUGGUACUUUAAAUUGAAGUCUAGGUAUUCAAUUUUGGCUGUGGCAAAACAAGACUCUCCUGGAUUGGCCUCGACAAAGGGAACCUUGAAAGACACAUUAUAAACUGUGAUUAAAGUAGGAGGUGCUUCGGAAUCAGUUUUGGAGGAAGACAAUUUUGCAAUCUCAUGGUUCAAGUGUUUUAAGGUACCAGCACAGGAGUCAAAUCUUUAGAGGAAGAGUGGAAUAUUUUGCCAAAAAGGGUAUAUGACGUCAUCCUAUGGAGUGUGUGGGUCCCUCAGGUAUUCGUAUAAGGAGUAGACCAACCGUUGAUCUUUUUACGAAAACUGCGAGAAGCUGCAGAAUGAUGCUCCUCUCAUUGUAACCGGGGCUUCCACAUGUUCACAUCUCUUGCAAUCCUUAUACGAAUUUGGUCUACUCCCAAACUCUCGAGACGUUCACCUGAGCAUUGGACUUGUUUUUAAGACAAUAUGUGUUUAAAAAACAAAUGUUGCAACUAAUUUCACUGUAAAAGAAUACUUCUAUGUGUAAUUUAUAGUUUGAGCUCGAAUGUUGAAUAUGAAAAGAAUAGAAGCAAUAUAUUUU
Cynara cardunculus var. scolymus (artichoke) is the source of this 1723-nucleotide RNA transcript. It is a transcript of the gene named protein FLX-like 1, with no coding region annotated. Lineage: Eukaryota; Viridiplantae; Streptophyta; Magnoliopsida; Asterales; Asteraceae. The transcript has 8 exons. The record is from RefSeq and is a predicted model, not a curated record.